Molecule: ribosomal RNA, 497 nt
Filed under: uncultured bacterium
Lineage: Bacteria
Description: partial 16S ribosomal RNA
Rfam family: Bacterial small subunit ribosomal RNA
Source: RNAcentral
GACGAACGCUGGCGGCGUGCCUAAUACAUGCAAGUUGAGCGCUGAAGGUUGGUACUUGUACCAACUGGAUGAGCAGCGAACGGGUGAGUAACGCGUGGGGAAUCUGCCUUUGAGCGGGGGACAACAUUUGGAAACGAAUGCUAAUACCGCAUAAAAACUUUAAACACAAGUUUUAAGUUUGAAAGAUGCAAUUGCAUCACUCAAAGAUGAUCCCGCGUUGUAUUAGCUAGUUGGUGAGGUAAAGGCUCACCAAGGCGAUGAUACAUAGCCGACCUGAGAGGGUGAGCGGCCACAUUGGGACUGAGACACGGCCCAAACUCCUACGGGAGGCAGCAGUAGGGAAUCUUCGGCAAUGGACGAAAGGCUGAACGAGCAACGCCGCGUGAGUGAAGAAGGGUGUCGGAUCGUAAAAAUCUGUUGGUAGAGAAGAACGUUGGUGAGAGUGGAAAGCGCAUAAAGUGACGGUAACUACCCAGAAAGGGACGGCUAACUACGUG